CCUACGGGUGGCAGCAGUGGGGAAUAUUGCACAAUGGGGGAAACGCUGAUGCAGCGACGCCGCGUGAGGGAUGGAGGACUUCGGGAUGGAAAGCUCUAUCAGCAGGGAAGAAAAUGACGGUACCUGACUAAGAAGCCCCGGCUAACUACGUGCCAGCAGCCGCGGUAAUACGGAGGGGGCAAGCGUUAUACGGAUUUACUGGGUGUAAAGGGAGCGUAGACGGGGGUGCAAGCCAGAUGGGAAAGCCCGGGGCUCAAACCCCGGACUGCAUUUGGAACUGUGCUGCUAGAGUGUCGGAGAGGCAGGCGGAAUGCCUGGUGUAGCGGUGAAAUGCGUAGAUAUUAGGAGGAACGCCGAUGGCGAAGGCAGCCUGCUGGACGAUGACUGACGUUGAGGCUCGAAAGCGUGGGGAGCGAACAGGAUUAGAUACCCCGGUAGUC
Molecule: ribosomal RNA, 440 nt
Filed under: uncultured bacterium
Lineage: Bacteria
Description: partial 16S ribosomal RNA
Rfam family: Bacterial small subunit ribosomal RNA
Source: RNAcentral